GGAGCUUUGCCGAGAAAGUUUCUGAUAUAAAGCCUCCCCUGCUUCAGCUUCUGGUGAGCUUUUGGCAAGAUGAGGCUGAGCAUGUUAAGAUGGCAGCACGCUCCUUAUUUCAUUGUGCUGCUUCACGAGCCAUUCCACCUCCAUUACGCCGGGAUAAUCCAAGAGACAAUGAGAAUGGAGUAUCACCAAGUGGAUGCUAUGAUACAGUCCCAACAGAAGCACCCACCAACUGCUUGAGGAAUGACAGACAAAUUGUCACUGAAGGGAACUCUGAGGAUGAAGAAUCUGAGAUCAGAUCAUGGCUAGAAUCAUUUGAAAUGCAAGAUUGGAUUUCUUGUGUUGGGGGCAUGAGCCAAGAUGCAAUGACAUCUCAUAUCAUUGUUGCUGCUGCCUUGGCUGUUUGGUAUCCCAGCCUUGUGAAACCAAAUCUUUUUGGCUUGGCUGUUAAUCCAUUGGUGAAGUUGGUUAUGGCGAUGAAUGAGAAAUACAGUUCCACUGCCGCAGAAAUCCUGGCUGAAGGCAUGGAAAGCACAUGGAAGGCAUGCAUUGAUUCCGAAAUACCCCGCCUGAUUGGAGACAUAUUCUUCCAAAUUGAGUGUGUCACUGGUGCAUCCGCUAAUACACCUACUAAGAAUUCGUCUACAUCUGUUAGAAUUCGUGAUACUUUGGUUGGAGUUCUUCUCCCAAGUUUAGCAAUGGCCGAUGUAUUGGGCUUUCUGAAUGUCAUAGAACGCCAGAUCUGGUCAACUGCCUCUGAUUCGCCUGUUCAUGUAGUAUCCCUCAUGACUAUAGUUAGGGUUGCACGCGGUUCUCCAAGAAACUUAGUUCAGUAUCUUGAUAAGGUGGUUGCUUUCAUUUUACAGACAAUAGAUCCUGGUAACUUAGCCAUGCGAAAAACUUGCUUGCAAAGUUCAAUGGCGGCAUUGAAGG
This 930-nucleotide unclassified non-coding RNA is filed under the name Hevea brasiliensis (rubber tree). The record is from RNAcentral. Lineage: Eukaryota; Viridiplantae; Streptophyta; Magnoliopsida; Malpighiales; Euphorbiaceae.